UCUCCGUUGGUGAACCAGCGGAGGGAUCAUUACUGAGUUUACGCUCUAUAACCCUUUGUGAACAUACCUAUAACUGUUGCUUCGGCGGGUAGGAGUCCCCUAAAAAGGACGCCUCCCGGCCCUCCCGUCCGCGGGUGGGGCGCCCGCCGGAGGAUAACCAAACUCUGAUUUAACGACGUUUCUUCUGAGUGACACAAGUAAUAAUCAAAACUUUUAACAACGGAUCUCUUGGUUCUGGCAUCGAUGAAGAACGCAGC
Molecule: unclassified non-coding RNA, 257 nt
Filed under: uncultured fungus
Lineage: Eukaryota; Fungi
Description: sequence contains ITS1, 5.8S rRNA gene
Rfam family: 5.8S ribosomal RNA (bases 209-257)
Source: RNAcentral